Molecule: ribosomal RNA, 953 nt
Filed under: groundwater metagenome
Description: bacterial SSU rRNA
Rfam family: Bacterial small subunit ribosomal RNA
Source: RNAcentral
AGAGUUUGAUCCUAGCUCAGGGUGAAUGCUGGCGAUGUGGAUGAGUCAUGCAAGUCAAGGGGGCCGCAAGGCAACCGGCAGACGAGGUAGUAACACGUAGGUAGAUCCCCCGGAGUCGGGCAUAGCUUGCCGAAAGGCAAGGUAAUUCCCGAUAGUCCCGUGAGGGUAAAGGAGCAAUCCGCUCUGGGAGUCGCCUGCGUAGUAUCAGCUAGUUGGUAGGGUAACGGCCUACCAAGGCUACGACGCUUAGGGGAGCUGAGAGGCUGACCCCCACCGAUCGGACUGAGACACGGCCGAUACUCCUACGGGAGGCUGCAGACGAGAAUAUUCCGCAAUGGGCGAAAGCCUGACGGAGCGACAUCGCGUGAUGGAUGAAGUGCUUCGGUACGUAAACAUCUUUUAUCGGGGACGAAAUAAUUGACGGUACCCGAUGAAUAAGGGGCUCCUAACUCUGUGCCAGCAGGAGCGGUAAUACAGAGGCCCCAAGCAUUACCCGGAUUCACUGGGCGUAAAGGGUGUCUAGGCGGCCAUAUUAGUCGUUCGUUAAAUCUGCGGGCCCAACCCGCAGGCCGCGGACGAAACGGUAUGGCUCGAGGGCGCGAGAGGUGCACGGAACUCAUGGUGGAGGGGUGAAAUCCGUUGAUAUCAUGGGGAACACCGAAGGCGAAGGCAGUGCACUGGUGCGUUCCUGACGCUCACACACGAAAGCCAGGGGAGCGAACGGGAUUAGAUACCCCGGUAGUCCUGGCCAUAAACGAUGGGUACUAGAGAGUAGAUGCUCCGAUGUGUUUACUCUCGAAGCGAAAGUGAUAAGUACCCCACCUGGGGAGUAUGGUCGCAAGGCUGAAACUCAAAGGAAUUGACGGGGGCUCACACAAGCGGUGGAGCAUGUGGCUUAAUUCGAGGCUACGCGAAGAACCUUAUCCUAGGCUUGACAUGCACGGAUGCCGACG